GACGAACGCUGGCGGCGUGCUUAACACAUGCAAGUCGAACGGAAAGGCCCUGCUGUUGUUUGGUGCUCGUGUGGCGAACGGGUGAGUAACACGUGUGUAACCUGCCCUUGACUUUGGGAUAACUUCACGAAACUUGGGCUAAUACCGGAUAGGAUCUCCUGCUGCAUGGUGUGGGUUGGAAAGUUUCGGCUUUUGGGUAUGGACUCGCGGCUUACCAGCUUGUUGGUGGGGUAGUGGCUUACCAAGGCUUUGACGGGUAGCCGGCAUGAGAGGGUGACCGGCCACCUGGGGACUGCGAUACGGACCAGACUCCUACGGGAGGCAGCAGUGGGGAAUAUUGCACAAUGGCCGGGAGCCGGAUGAAGAAACGCCGGGUGCGGAAUGCCGGCAUUAGGGUUGUAAACAGCUUUCGCCUGUGACGAACCGUGAGUGACGGUAAUGAGUAAAGAAGCACCGGCUAACUACGUG
This 468-nucleotide ribosomal RNA is filed under the name uncultured bacterium. Its description in RNAcentral is "partial 16S ribosomal RNA". It matches the Rfam family "Bacterial small subunit ribosomal RNA", at positions 28 to 507 of the family's 1533-position model. The record is from RNAcentral.